RNAcentral lists this ribosomal RNA (446 nucleotides) under uncultured bacterium. RNAcentral's name for it is "partial 16S ribosomal RNA". It matches the Rfam family "Bacterial small subunit ribosomal RNA", at positions 338 to 795 of the family's 1533-position model. The record is from RNAcentral.
CCUACGGGAGGCAGCAGUCGAGAAUCAUUCACAAUGGGGGAAACCCUGAUGGUGCGACGCCGCGUGGGGGAAUGAAGGUCUUCGGAUUGUAAACCCCUGUCAUGUGGGAGCAAAUUAAAAAGAUAGUACCACACGAGGAAGAGACGGCUAACUCUGUGCCAGCAGCCGCGGUAAUACAGAGGUCUCAAGCGUUGUUCGUAAUCACUGGGCGUAAAGCGUGCGUAGGCUGUUUCGUAAGUCGUGUGUGAAAGGCGCGGGCUCAACCCGCGGACGGCACAUGAUACUGCGAGACUAGAGUAAUGGAGGGGGAACCGGAAUUCUCGGUGUAGCAGUGAAAUGCGUAGAUAUCGAGAGGAACACUCGUGGCGAAGGCGGGUUCCUGGACAUUAACUGACGCUGAGGCACGAAGGCCAGGGGAGCGAAAGGGAUUAGAUACCCCUGUAGUC